CUACGGGCGGCACCAGCGGGGAAUAUUGCACAAUGGGCGAAAGCCUGAUGCAGCAACGCCGCGUGAGGGACGACGGCCUUCGGGUUGUAAACCUCUUUUAGCAGGGAAGAAGCGAAAGUGACGGUACCUGCAGAAAAAGCACCGGCUAACUACGUGCCAGCAGCCGCGGUAAUACGUAGGGUGCAAGCGUUGUCCGGAAUUAUUGGGCGUAAAGAGCUCGUAGGCGGUUUGUCGCGUCUGCUGUGAAAAUCCGAGGCUCAACCUCGGACCUGCAGUGGGUACGGGCAAACUAGAGUGCGGUAGGGGAGAUUGGAAUUCCUGGUGUAGCGGUGGAAUGCGCAGAUAUCAGGAGGAACACCAAUGGCGAAGGCAGAUCUCUGGGCCGUAACUGACGCUGAGGAGCGAAAGCGUGGGGAGCGAACAGGAUUAGAUACCCUAGUAGUC
RNAcentral lists this ribosomal RNA (444 nucleotides) under uncultured bacterium. RNAcentral's name for it is "partial 16S ribosomal RNA". It matches the Rfam family "Bacterial small subunit ribosomal RNA", at positions 339 to 795 of the family's 1533-position model. The record is from RNAcentral.